AUAAACAAAGACAUUGAGUAUGUUUACAUGCACAUAAUAAGAGGACAAUUAUCUUAUUAUGAUAUUAUAAAAAUCAGCUUAUUACAUUAACAUGUUUCAAGCGUUUUAAUUUACUUUUAUUUGUGAAGUUUAUCUAUCACAGGUGGAGACAUACGCACAUACGAAACGGCAAAAAAGACGUUAAAAUCUGGUUUAAGAGCAAAAAAACUACCUGUGCCAAUCAGUUUUUGCCAUUUAUGGGCUUUACCCUAUAAAAGAAAACCAUUUUAUGCAUUUAAAUGACCUUACACGUUAUCAGUUUAUUAAGCGUUUAGACUAUGUAGACACACUCACUGUGCACUAAAAUUAAAAAAAUUGGUUAACACGACCACUCGUGGUGGCUUCACUCAGAGGUUGGAGAAGACAACCGGUGGACUAAACAUCAAGCCUCUGCACGAUUCAGGUAAGUGGAAUAAAAUACAUUGUAAAUAAACAUUAUUAAAACAGAUUGUGAAGUCAUUCAUUCAAAACUUGCUAUGACCUAAGCCUAAAUGACUUAAUUUCUUUUUAGAAUUAAGACAACCUUAGCAGGAGAGCCCCAGCAGUAACUUUCUCUCAAGCAGAUGAGCAAUAAGUUGCUUUGUAUGAACACCACCCUAACAAUCAAGUAGCCUGUUAACAGUAGACCAAAGGUAUGAUGAUCAAUUAUAAAUGCAAUAUGGUUGAAAGGUCAGUAAACAAACAACAAAAAGGUAAUUUCUUAAUAGAAUGUCUAUACAUUUUUUGCUUUUGUUACAUAUUUCAUACAUCAAAAUCAUUAAACGUUAAUAAUUAUGUAUUCCAACUUGUUGCAGCUUGACAAAAAUGUAGCUUGAAGGAGAAGGGACAGCUGAGUAACAAAGUCCUGGUACGCAGACGACGAUACUAUUACACUGACAAGAGUGUAAUGAUGAUGGAGACACAAGCCAGAGAAAGGGGGACCAAACACCAGGCCAGAAUUCUGCAUGAGUCAGAUCCAGUGGGUGCAGAUCAUCAUACAGAUGGUUCAAGUGUGGAUCCACCUAAUAUUCAAGAUUUUCUGUCCUGGGACACUCGGCUAACCAUCAAGAAAGAACACAGUAGGUUAACAAGAAUCUGACCUCACGUUUGAUCAUUACAAAAUUAUGGCAGUACAUUACACAUUUAAGGACUGUUAUUCCUCUGGCUGAUUUAAAAAUACCCAAAAGUUCUUAAAAAGAAG
Non-coding RNA from Paramisgurnus dabryanus, 1219 nucleotides. The record is from RefSeq and is a predicted model, not a curated record. Lineage: Eukaryota; Metazoa; Chordata; Actinopteri; Cypriniformes; Cobitidae.